UCCCUGAGAGCAAAUCUUAUCAUGGCUUCU
Molecule: non-coding RNA, 30 nt
Filed under: Mus musculus (house mouse)
Lineage: Eukaryota; Metazoa; Chordata; Mammalia; Rodentia; Muridae
Source: RNAcentral